Molecule: ribosomal RNA, 255 nt
Filed under: uncultured bacterium
Lineage: Bacteria
Description: partial 16S ribosomal RNA
Rfam family: Archaeal small subunit ribosomal RNA
Source: RNAcentral
UACCAGCACCCCGAGUGGUCGGGACGUUUAUUGGGCCUAAAGCAUCCGUAGCCGGUUCUACAAGUCUUCCGUUAAAUCCAACUGCUUAACAGGUGGGCUGCGGAAGAUACUAUAGAGCUAGGAGGCGGGAGAGGCAAGCGGUACUCGAUGGGUAGGGGUAAAAAUCCGUUGAUCCAUUGAAGACCACCAGUGGCGAAGGCGGCUUGCCAGAACGCGCUCGACGGUGAGGGAUGAAAGCUGGGGGGAGCAAACCGG